GCGAUUUCUCCCCCUCUCCGGCGAUUCCGGCCUUUCUCCACCUCUCUUCAACGGCGAAUCCUCUCCUCACCCUCAUAUCUCUUCCCCAAACCCCAAAUCAUGUAAGAAUCAUCCCAAACCUUCUUUUUUAUCAAUUGUUUAGGGUUUUGGAAGUUGAUCUCGGAUUUUAGGUUGUUUGAUUGAAAAUUUUAGGAUUGAAUGGAUAGUUUAGGAUAUAUAAGUUAGGAUUGUUGUUUGGAUUGUUGUUUUAGUUUUUUUUGGAACAUUUUUUGAUUUUUAAAAACGUUUUUUGAUUUUUAAAAACGUUUUGUGAUUUUUUAAAACGUUUUGUGAUUUUUAAAAACGUUUUUUGAUUUUUAAAAACGUUUUGUGAUUUUUUAAAACGUUUUUUUUUUAUUUUUAAAAACGUUUUUCAAGUUUCCAGUAAUGAAAUAUAUAUAAUAAAACGUUUUUAAAUUUUUUUUAAAAUAGUUAACAACAUUUUUCUAUAUUUAUAAAUUUUUUAUAAUUUUGUAUAAUAUAUAUAUAUAAAAGGUUUAAUAGUUUUUUUUAAAACGUUUAUAAAACCUUUUGUAAAUAUAUAAAUGAAAACAUUAAAAAUAGAAAUGAUUUGAAAAUAUGUUUGAUGGGUUAAUUUUUUUUUUUUAGGGCCGAGGAUGAAGCCCGCACCGCAGCCCGUCUUCGACGUAGUUCGGUGAGCAGUUCCCGUGCAUCGGGAUCGUCUCAUGACUCGGUUCCCGCAUAUAUUCCCGCUCCAGCUCCCUCAGCCCCUCACGCUGCCCCUCACGCUGCUGCUCAACAGGAUCCGGGGGUCAUGCCGGUUCAUCUAUUGGUUCAACAACCAGGUCGAGAGCAUCUCCCGUUUCUCCAAACCAACCCACGACGAG
This 887-nucleotide long non-coding RNA is filed under the name Brassica napus (rape). RNAcentral's name for it is "long non-coding RNA (BNAP_LNC023259)". The record is from RNAcentral. Lineage: Eukaryota; Viridiplantae; Streptophyta; Magnoliopsida; Brassicales; Brassicaceae.